Molecule: transfer RNA, 72 nt
Filed under: Alosa alosa (allis shad)
Lineage: Eukaryota; Metazoa; Chordata; Actinopteri; Clupeiformes; Clupeidae
Description: tRNA-OTHER
Source: RNAcentral
GGUUCCCUGGUGUAAUGGUUAGCACUCUGGACUUUGAAUCUAGCAAUCCGAGUUCAAAUCUCCUUCUGCUUA